RNAcentral lists this ribosomal RNA (448 nucleotides) under uncultured organism. RNAcentral describes it as "partial 16S ribosomal RNA". It matches the Rfam family "Bacterial small subunit ribosomal RNA", at positions 335 to 799 of the family's 1533-position model. The record is from RNAcentral.
ACUCCUACGGGAGGCAGCAGUGGGGAAUAUUGGACAAUGGGCGCAAGCCUGAUCCAGCCAUGCCGCGUGAGUGAUGAAGGCCCUAGGGUUGUAAAGCUCUUUCACCGGUGAAGAUAAUGACGGUAACCGGAGAAGAAGCCCCGGCUAACUUCGUGCCAGCAGCCGCGGUAAUACGAAGGGGGCUAGCGUUGUUCGGAUUUACUGGGCGUAAAGCGCACGUAGGCGGACUAUUAAGUCAGGGGUGAAAUCCCGGGGCUCAACCCCGGAACUGCCUUUGAUACUGGUAGUCUUGAGUUCGAGAGAGGUGAGUGGAAUUCCGAGUGUAGAGGUGAAAUUCGUAGAUAUUCGGAGGAACACCAGUGGCGAAGGCGGCUCACUGGCUCGAUACUGACGCUGAGGUGCGAAAGCGUGGGGAGCAAACAGGAUUAGAUACCCGAGUAGUCCCAUG